UUCCGGUUGAUCCCGCCGGAGGCCACUGCUAUCGGGGUUUGACUAAGCCAUGCGAGUCGAGAGGUGUAAGACCUCGGCGUACUGCUCAGUAACACGUGGACAAUCUGCCCUGAAGUGGAGGAUAAUCCCGGGAAACUGGGGGUAAUACUCCAUAGUUCGUGCUGACUGGAAUGUUAUGCGAACGAAAGAUCCGUCGCUUCAGGAUGAGUCUGCGGCCGAUUAGGUAGUUGUUGGGGUAACGGCCCAACAAGCCCGUCAUCGGUACGGGUUGUGGGAGCAAGAGCCCGGAGAUGGAUUCUGAGACACGAAUCCAGGCCCUACGGGGCGCAGCAGGCGCGAAAACUUUACCAUGCGGGCAACCGUGAUAAGGAAACCCCGAGUGCCAGCACAGGCUGGCUGUCCGCCAGUGUAAAUAACUGGUGAAGAAAGGGCCGGGCAAGACCGGUGCCAGCCGCCGCGGUAAUACCGGCGGCUCGAGUGGUGGCCACUAUUACUGGGCUUAAAGGGUCCGUAGCUUGAUAUGCAAGUCUCUUGAGAAAUCCGCCAGCUUAACUGGUGGGCGUUCAGGGGAAACUGCAUUUCUAGGGACCGGGAGAGGUGAGAGGUACUGCCGGGGUAGGAGUGAAAUCCUGUAAUCCCGGUGGGACCACCUAUGGCGAAGGCAUCUCACCAGAACGGGUCCGACAGUGAGGGACGAAAGCUGGGGGAGCAAACCGGAUUAGAUACCCGGGUAGUCCCAGCUGUAAACGAUGCGCGUUAGGUGUGUCAGUGACCACGUGUCACUGAGGUGCCGAAGGGAAACCGUGAAACGCGCCGCCUGGGGAGUACGGUCGCAAGGCUGAAACUUAAAGGAAUUGGCGGGGGAGCACCACAACGGGUGGAGCCUGCGGUUUAAUCGGACUCAACGCCGGGAAUCUCACCGGAUAAGACAGCUGAAUGAUAGUCGGGAUGAAGACUCUACUUGACUAGCUGAGAGGAGGUGCAUGGCC
This 989-nucleotide ribosomal RNA is filed under the name uncultured archaeon. RNAcentral describes it as "bacterial SSU rRNA". It matches the Rfam family "Archaeal small subunit ribosomal RNA", at positions 1 to 999 of the family's 1478-position model. The record is from RNAcentral.